CUCUGAAGACCCAGGAGAGGCAGCAGCCAUGAAGAUCCUGUUCCUGCUCUUCUCCCUGCUCCUCCUGUUGGUCCGGGGUGCUGCAGGGAGUACAAUUCAAUGCAAUCAGAGAGGAGGAUUUUGUUCUUCUGUAAGAUGUCACCCCCCCCUAAGAACUAUUGGAAGAUGUUCAGACAUGUCCGUGUGCUGCAAAAGUGACUGGAUUUGAAACCCUGAAAUUCCCAAGCAGGACAUGACCCUCGCUUCUGGCUGAUGACCCCACCUGCUGAUGUCCCCAUGUGCUGAUGUCCCCAUGUGCUGAUGUCCCCUGGCCUCGGUGGCUGUGCCGUGC
This is a non-coding RNA of Zonotrichia albicollis (white-throated sparrow), 331 nucleotides long. The record is from RefSeq and is a predicted model, not a curated record. NCBI's taxonomy places the organism in Eukaryota, Metazoa, Chordata, Aves, Passeriformes, Passerellidae.